ACCUUCGGGCCUUGUGCUCCUGGAGCGGCCGAUAUCUGAUUAGCUAGUUGGUGAGGUAAAGGCUCACCAAGGCGACGAUCAGUAGCUGGUCUGAGAGGACGACCAGCCACACUGGAACUGAGACACGGUCCAGACUCCUACGGGAGGCAGCAGUGGGGAAUUUUGGACAAUGGGCGCAAGCCUGAUCCAGCAAUGCCGCGUGAGUGAAGAAGGCCUUCGGGUUGUAAAGCUCUUUUGUCAGGGAAGAAACGGGAUAGGCUAAUAUCCUUUCCUAAUGACGGUACCUGAAGAAUAAGCACCGGCUAACUACG
RNAcentral lists this ribosomal RNA (311 nucleotides) under Massilia sp. 47(2010). RNAcentral's name for it is "bacterial SSU rRNA". It matches the Rfam family "Bacterial small subunit ribosomal RNA", at positions 202 to 505 of the family's 1533-position model. Lineage: Bacteria; Pseudomonadati; Pseudomonadota; Betaproteobacteria; Burkholderiales; Oxalobacteraceae. RNAcentral also lists the same sequence under 1 other name. The record is from RNAcentral.